This 413-nucleotide ribosomal RNA is filed under the name uncultured Brevundimonas sp. Its description in RNAcentral is "bacterial SSU rRNA". It matches the Rfam family "Bacterial small subunit ribosomal RNA", at positions 29 to 487 of the family's 1533-position model. Lineage: Bacteria; Pseudomonadati; Pseudomonadota; Alphaproteobacteria; Caulobacterales; Caulobacteraceae. The record is from RNAcentral.
AGCGAACGCUGGCGGCAGGCCUAACACAUGCAAGUCGAACGGACCCUUCGGGGUUAGUGGCGGACGGGUGAGUAACACGUGGGAACGUGCCUUUAGGUUCGGAAUAGCUCCUGGAAACGGGUGGUAAUGCCGAAUGUGCCCUUCGGGGGAAAGAUUUAUCGCCUUUAGAGCGGCCCGCGUCUGAUUAGCUAGUUGGUGGGGUAAUGGCCCACCAAGGCUACGAUCAGUAGCUGGUCUGAGAGGAUGACCAGCCACAUUGGGACUGAGACACGGCCCAAACUCCUACGGGAGGCAGCAGUGGGGAAUCUUGCGCAAUGGGCGAAAGCCUGACGCAGCCAUGCCGCGUGUAUGAUGAAGGUCUUAGGAUUGUAAAAUACUUUCACCGGUGAAGAUAAUGACUGUAGCCGGAGAAG